UACAGAGGGGGCAAGCGUUGUUCGGAAUUACUGGGCGUAAAGGGCGCGUAGGCGGCCUUCUAAGUCGAACGUGAAAUCCCCGGGCUCAACCCGGGAACUGCGUCCGAUACUGGAAGGCUUGAAUCCGGGAGAGGGAUGUGGAAUUCCAGGUGUAGCGGUGAAAUGCGUAGAUAUCUGGAGGAACACCUGCGGCGAAGGCGGGUUGCUGGGCUGACACUGACGCUGACGCGCGAAAGCUAGGGGAGCGAACGGG
Molecule: ribosomal RNA, 253 nt
Filed under: uncultured bacterium
Lineage: Bacteria
Description: partial 16S ribosomal RNA
Rfam family: Bacterial small subunit ribosomal RNA
Source: RNAcentral